UGACAAGUAGCUCAGUCGGUUAGAGCGUUUAUGGACAGGUCGUAGGUUCGAGUCCUACCUUGUCAA
Molecule: transfer RNA, 66 nt
Filed under: Rickettsiales bacterium
Lineage: Bacteria; Pseudomonadati; Pseudomonadota; Alphaproteobacteria; Rickettsiales
Description: tRNA-Ser
Rfam family: tRNA
About the family: Transfer RNA (tRNA) molecules are approximately 80 nucleotides in length. Their secondary structure includes four short double-helical elements and three loops (D, anti-codon, and T loops).
Source: RNAcentral